Long non-coding RNA from Aquila chrysaetos chrysaetos, 2900 nucleotides. RefSeq lists it as uncharacterized. Lineage: Eukaryota; Metazoa; Chordata; Aves; Accipitriformes; Accipitridae. The transcript has 3 exons. The record is from RefSeq and is a predicted model, not a curated record.
UACACACAGAGCUGUAGUAACAACUUGAAAAUAGAUUUGAUUUGUAAAUCCCUUUUUUUACAAAUCGCUUUCUCAUAUAACAAUACAAACUGUAAUUUUACUAUGUGAAAGAUGAGGAACUACAAAAGUGUUCUUUUAAAACAGUAAUUCCGGGUUAAGUGAUUUGCUUUCAGCACACACAUGUUGUUGUUGGUGUAUGCACUUCCUUUAUACUGAAUUUUUUUGGUUUUCAGGCACUACUAGGAAGAAAGUCUGUUGUACUAGUAACACCAUAACAAUACUUCUGACAAAGCUGUCAAUGGAAGUACAAGUGUAUAUACCUGAAAUGAGUUUCUUGUUCCAACAAUCAAAGUGAUGAACUCCAGCUCCGCUUUCUGCUGCGGUGAUUGUUUGCAUUGCCAGGCACAUGGAAAUAACAUUCCUGUCUGUCAUACUCCAGCGAAGAAUGCAAUGUAUAAGUAAAGCUGUUACAUUGCAAUCUCCCACUGAGCAUCUCCAGAGGACUGUAUCUGACCAUGGGAGGAGUGUUUCAAGAUGUCAGAUGAAUCUCUCUCCAGAGGCCCUUAUUCCUGUCUACUAAUAAUAUAGCAGGUGUAGAAUGACUAGAUUAUUCUUGGACAUGUAACAGAUAGAAUUUUGAAAAUCAGAGAAGAAUAAUUCAGCAAUUGCCUACUGAUGACCAAUAUUUGAAUCUUUAAAAUGGAAACCUUUGAAAUUGCUGUGAAGCCAUAUAUAGGUAAAAGGGGUUGCUGAGAUGUAAAAAGAGUUUUCCUGUUGUGAACUGCAACCAGGAUCUAGUGAGUAUGAUCUGAUUAUCUCUGUUCUGGCUAUACACUGUGCAGAUAUCCAAAGUGGGAUGAUAGGUGUGGAUUAAAAUGCAGAAAUGGUGAGCUUAAGUAUCAGUUGUAAGCAACUCGGUCUUUAAAGACUCUGUUGUGUGCUUAAUGUUAUGAUUCAAUUGUAGGCUGUAUGUUUAUAAAGUGACUUACUACUUCUGUCAUUAAUUAAAGUAGUAUUGAUUUAUGAUGGCUAUUUUUUCUGCUAAAUUGGGAAGUGGAAGAACAUAGCCUGUUUGUAAUGGUUGAGGCAAGAGGUGGCAGCUCUGUGCUGCGUUUAUAAAAGGAAGAAUGUAUCCAACUCUUCUUUCUUUGCUCUUGCUACCUCUCCAUCCUGUCAAACACCCAACAAUUCCACCAGUCUAAUGCUGGAACGUUCCUCUUCUGCGUCCAAGAAAAUACCUAAUCUUAAUCACUCAGCUACUUGCUACCCAUCAUGUGUUUGAAGGGCAGUAAUUGCCUUUAUACAAGGGCUAGUUUCACUUGGGGGUAAACAUCUCCAUGCAGGCACUUGCUGAGCAUAAGCAAUGGCUAUGUGUAUAGAAACAAGUUUUUGUCGUUCAGGUCAGCAACUGUGCACACUUGAUUGGGCAUGCUACCUGGAAGUAAAUUGAUGGUAUUAUUGAAAAUCUUUGGUAUAUACUUGAGAUAGUAGUUCUUCCACAGUUCACAGUGUUCUACAGAAGGGCUGGAUUUGUAACUGCUUGUGUAAAAACUAGAGUAUAUUCUUUCAGAAAAUAUAGGAAUUACUCUCUAAACAUAUGCAAAUAAAAUAAGUUAAUUUACAUUAAAAGCAGUGAAAUUUAAAAUAGAGUAUCAUUUAAGACAUAUAUGGCCAAAUGUUAAACUUCCCAAACAACUAGGGAAGGUACAUUCUUUAGUUUCCAGUAUUGUUUUAAAAAAUAGCUUAGCUUAGAAAGAGGAUUUAUAUUUUUUAGAGUUUAUGAUCACUUUCUUUCCCUGUUUUUUUGAGAUGGAAAACCUCUUUAAUAGAGGCUGGAGAAUGUUUUGAUGUAGAGCAUUGUAAGACAACUAUUUUGAAAGACAGUAUCAGUGAUGGUUUGCAGUCAUAACAUGAGAGAAAGUGUCUGUGUCUGCAGGAAGCUGGAAUCUCAGGGGAUGUUUCCUGGAACCAGGGCCUGAGGAGUUUUGGUAGGGUGAAGGGGAGCAUUGCAAGCUGAUGACUGGGCUUUUUAUUUCUAUUUAGUCAUUUGUAUUUUUGUAUUUACUACUGAUCUCUUAAAAGAUGUCAUCUUCUUGAAACUGUCAAUAAUUUAAAAAAAAAAAAGUCAAAUGUUGGUUUUAAACUCCAUAUUUCCUACUUUCAACAGUAUUUUUUUUUUCCCUUGGCUUUGCUGAUUUGUAAAGACUGGCAUGGAAGGAUAAGUGACUGAACAAAUAUUGCUGUGUACUCAAGUCAAAGGAUCAACAGGACUGUCAAAUAUCUAGGCAUGUUUUAACUGAAAUAUUACAACAAGUAGUAGUGCAUUGGAGGAAAAGGUACUACAUGCCCUUUGGUACCCAUUUACUCAUUUGCUUCAAUUCUACUUGAAGGGCUUUAUCUUCCUUUUUGUAAGUGUGGACUUCAUUAUGUUGCAAGCUCAGAGGUGCCUGCCAGGCAGUAUUCAUCUGUUUGCGGAUGAUCAUAAAUCUUGUAGUGCUGUGGGUGGUGUAUUUUGGUAUUGAAUUCACUUUGUGAUGAAAAUUAUUGUACAGCUCUAGAGAGACACUGCAAGCAUACUUUGUCCUCCCACUUGUUCUGUGUGUAGUCCUGAACAGUAACUUCUGUAAGCGUGAAAUUCUGUUUAUUUCAAUUUUUUUACUAUUUUUAAUGAAAAUUGAGUUCGUCAGUGUCAAUGUUAAGUCUCAAUGCUGGGCUGUCAAUCUGUUUUUAAUAUUGUAUUUGUCUUAGGCACUGUAUCCACAUUCCAGGGCAAAAUUGUGUAUGUUGUGUCCACUUGCUGAAGGAUUCUUCCUCUGAGCCUACUGAAUUCAUAGGAGUUUGGCAGCUGACUUUACUUGGACCAGCAUUUUACCCACCUUUCUAAUUCCAGAAUAAAAAAA